CAGGUGGGAGUGAUCACCUAAUUACCCUCGUUUCCCAUAAAGAGCUGGAUGCGGCUGCUGCUCGGUACCGGAUCAUAACAACACCACAACUCCUGCCUGCUCCUCUGCAAGCCUGGCCAACCCUUCCUCCUCCGUUCAGUUUGUAUCACCGGAUUUGUCUCCAGUCCAUUCCAGGGCUGCACCAGCAAGUUUCCUGGCUAUCCUCCAGUCACGACAGCACCUUCCCAGCCACUCCAGCCACAGCCCUGCCUCACGCCAUCGCCCGCCUCACGUCCCCGGCUCCCUUAUUCUUUGUUCACUGAUCAGCUAAGUUCCCCGCUCACUUCCAAGCCUGCUCAGUGUAGUAUCCAGUUUCUGUCGUCCUGAAUUUUGUGUGUCGCCGAUUUUUCGGCUCGUGCCUGUGAAAGUAUUUCUGCUGCUUUCCUGCCUUCAUGAUACUAAGUACAGGUUAGUUCAUUGCUAUUCCAGUUUGUCAUUUCUAAGUGGAGUCUUAGUGUUCCUCCGCUAUGCUAGGCAGCAAUGUCAUUCCUGAGUCUUGUAUCAGCAUUUCCCGUGUCUGUUCAGAAUCAGACCACUUCCUGUUGUAGUUCGUUUGUGUCUUAAUAAAAUAUUAAGGAUAUAUUCCAA
Amphiprion ocellaris (clown anemonefish) is the source of this 627-nucleotide long non-coding RNA. RefSeq lists it as uncharacterized. NCBI's taxonomy places the organism in Eukaryota, Metazoa, Chordata, Actinopteri, Pomacentridae. The record is from RefSeq and is a predicted model, not a curated record. The transcript has 2 exons.